CCUACGGGAGGCAGCAGUGGGGGAUAUUGGACAAUGGGGGGAACCCUGAUCCAGCGACGCCGCGUGAGUGAAGAAGUAUUUCGGUGUGUAAAGCUCUGUCAGCAGGGAAGAAAGAAAUGACGGUACCUGACCAAGAAGCACCGGCUAACUACGUGCCAGCAGCCGCGGUAAUACGUAGGGGGCAAGCGUUAUCCGGAAUUACUGGGUGUAAAGGGAGCGUAGACGGUUAAGUAAGUCUGGAGUGAAAGGCCGGGGCUCAACCCCGGGACUGCUCUGGAAACUAUUUAACUUGAGUGCAGGAGAGGUAAGCGGAAUUCCUAGUGUAGCGGUGAAAUGCGUAGAUAUUAGGAGGAACACCAGUGGCGAAGGCGGCUUACUGGACUGUAACUGACGUUGAGGCUCGAAAGCGUGGGGAGCAAACAGGAUUAGAUACCCCAGUAGUC
RNAcentral lists this ribosomal RNA (443 nucleotides) under uncultured bacterium. Its description in RNAcentral is "partial 16S ribosomal RNA". It matches the Rfam family "Bacterial small subunit ribosomal RNA", at positions 338 to 795 of the family's 1533-position model. The record is from RNAcentral.